RNAcentral lists this ribosomal RNA (1365 nucleotides) under uncultured Bacteroidota bacterium. RNAcentral's name for it is "bacterial SSU rRNA". It matches the Rfam family "Bacterial small subunit ribosomal RNA", at positions 29 to 1396 of the family's 1533-position model. The record is from RNAcentral. Lineage: Bacteria; Pseudomonadati; Bacteroidota.
AUGAACGCUAGCGGCAGGCUUAACACAUGCAAGUCGAGGGGUAACGGGGAAGCUUGCUUCCGCCGACGACCGGCGCACGGGUGCGUAACGCUUAUACAAUCUACCUUAUACUGGGGUAUAGCCUUUAGAAAUGAAGAUUAAUCCCCCAUAGUCUCUUAGAGUGGCAUCACUUCUAGAGUAAAGGUUACGGUAUAAGAUGAGUAUGCGUUCUAUUAGUUUGUUGGUGUGGUAACGGCACACCAAGACUACGAUAGAUAGGGGCCCUGAGAGGGGGAUCCCCCACACUGGUACUGAGACACGGACCAGACUCCUACGGGAGGCAGCAGUGAGGAAUAUUGGACAAUGGAGGCAACUCUGAUCCAGCCAUGCCGCGUGUAGGAUGACUGCCCUAUGGGUUGUAAACUACUUUUAUACAGGAAGAAACCCCGCUACGUGUAGCGGUUUGACGGUACUGUAAGAAUAAGGAUCGGCUAACUCCGUGCCCAGCAGCCGCGGUAAUACGGAGGAUCCAAGCGUUAUCCGGAAUCAUUGGGUUUAAAGGGUCCGUAGGUGGAUAAUUAAGUCAGAGGUGAAAUCUUGCAGCUCAACUGUAAAAUUGCCUUUGAUACUGGUUAUCUUGAGUUAUUAUGAAGUAGUUAGAAUAUGUAGUGUAGCGGUGAAAUGCAUAGAUAUUACAUAGAAUACCAAUUGCGAAGGCAGAUUACUAAUAAUCAACUGACACUGAUGGACGAAAGCGUGGGUAGCGAACAGGAUUAGAUACCCUGGUAGUCCACGCCGUAAACGAUGGUUACUAGCUGUUUGGACUUCGGUCUGAGUGGCUAAGCGAAAGUGAUAAGUAACCCACCUGGGGAGUACGUUCGCAAGAAUGAAACUCAAAGGAAUUGACGGGGGCCCGCACAAGCGGUGGAGCAUGUGGUUUAAUUCGAUGAUACGCGAGGAACCUUACCAGGGCUUAAAUGUAAGUUGCAUUAGUUAGAGAUAGCUAUUUCUUCGGACCACUUACAAGGUGCUGCAUGGUUGUCGUCAGCUCGUGCCGUGAGGUGUCAGGUUAAGUCCUAUAACGAGCGCAACCCCUGUUGUUAGUUGCCAGCGAGUCAUGUCGGGAACUCUAGCAAGACUGCCAGUGCAAACUGUGAGGAAGGUGGGGAUGACGUCAAAUCAUCACGGCCCUUACGUCCUGGGCUACACACGUGCUACAAUGGUAGGUACAGAGAGCAGCCACUGCGCGAGCAGGAGCGAAUCUAUAAAACCUAUCACAGUUCGGAUCGGAGUCUGCAACUCGACUCCGUGAAGCUGGAAUCGCUAGUAAUCGGAUAUCAGCCAUGAUCCGGUGAAUACGUUCCCGGGCCUUGUACUCACCGCCCG